CGCGUUCGAGUCAUCGAAGGCCGACAGUUGCCGGGCAUCAACAUCAAACCGGUCGUCAAGGUUACUGUUGGUGGGCAGUCCAAGAGGACUYGCAUCAGGAAAGGAAACAACCCCGUGUUUGAUGAGACUUUCUUUCUGAACUUCUUCGAGACUCCGUCAGACCUCUUCGAUGAGCCCAUCUUCAUUACUGUUUUUAACUCUAUGUCGCUGCGAACUGACUCAGUGAUCGGAGAAUUCAAGCUCGAUGUCGGCACGGUCUACAACGAGAGCAGACACGCCUUCUUGAGGAAGUGGCUCCUCCUCUCUGACCCUGACGACCUCUCGGCCGGGGCCAAAGGUUACCUGAAGGUCAGCCUCUUCGUAUUGGCUGCAGGCGACGAAGCUCCAGUGGAUAAAGAAGGAGGGAGUGGUGGAUAAGGAGGAUAUAGAGGGGAACCUGUUGCGUCCUGCUGGACUCACACUCAGAGGAGCUAUCUUCACACUCAAAUAUUCAGAGCUGAGGACCUGCCUCAGAUGGACGAUGCUUUAUGGAUGGGAUGAGACAGGUCCUGGGAUUCGACAGCAACAGGAAGAACCUGGUCGACCCUUAGUUUGAGUCAACUUCGCUGAGG
Salvelinus sp. IW2-2015 is the source of this 611-nucleotide non-coding RNA. The record is from RefSeq and is a predicted model, not a curated record. NCBI's taxonomy places the organism in Eukaryota, Metazoa, Chordata, Actinopteri, Salmoniformes, Salmonidae.